CCUACGGGUGGCAGCAGUGAGGAAUAUUGGUCAAUGGGCGCGAGCCUGAACCAGCCAAGUCGCGUGAAUGAUGAAUGCUCUACGGUUUGUAAACUUCUUUUAUAAAGGAAUAAAGUGAGGUACGUGUCCCUUUUUGCAUGUACUUUAUGAAUAAGGAUCGGCUAACUCCGUGCCAGCAGCCGCGGUAAUACGGAGGAUCCGAGCGUUAUCCGGAUUUAUUGGGUUUAAAGGGAGCGUAGAUGGGUUGUUAAGUCAGUUGUGAAAGUGUGCGGCUCAACCGUAAAAUUGCAGUUGAAACUGGGAGUCUUGAGUACAGUUGAGGUAGGCGGAAUGCGUGGUGUAGCGGUGAAAUGCUUAGAUAUCACGAAGAACUCCGAUUGCGAAGGCAGCUUACUAAGCUGCCACUGACGUUGAUGCUCGAAAGUGUGGGGAUCAAACAGGAUUAGAUACCCCGGUAGUC
Molecule: ribosomal RNA, 460 nt
Filed under: uncultured bacterium
Lineage: Bacteria
Description: partial 16S ribosomal RNA
Rfam family: Bacterial small subunit ribosomal RNA
Source: RNAcentral